This 253-nucleotide ribosomal RNA is filed under the name uncultured bacterium. Its description in RNAcentral is "partial 16S ribosomal RNA". It matches the Rfam family "Bacterial small subunit ribosomal RNA", at positions 524 to 776 of the family's 1533-position model. The record is from RNAcentral.
UACGUAGGGGGCUAGCGUUGUCCGGAAUCAUUGGGCGUAAAGCGCGUGUAGGCGGCCCGGUAAGUCCGCUGUGAAAGUCGGGGGCUCAACCCUCGGAUGCCGGUGGAUACUGUCGGGCUCGAGUACGGAAGAGGCGAGUGGAAUUCCUGGUGUAGCGGUGAAAUGCGCAGAUAUCAGGAGGAACACCAGCGGCGAAGGCGGCGCUCUGGGCCGGAACUGACGCUGAGGAGCGAAAGCGUGGGUAGCAAACAGG